Molecule: ribosomal RNA, 387 nt
Filed under: uncultured bacterium
Lineage: Bacteria
Description: bacterial SSU rRNA
Rfam family: Bacterial small subunit ribosomal RNA
Source: RNAcentral
CGGGUCAGCGGCGGACGGGUGAGUAACGCGUAGGAAUCUAUCCUUGAAUGGGGGACAACCGUGGGAAACUACGGCUAAUACCGCAUGAUGCCUGAGGGCCAAAGACGAAAGUCGUUUGAGGAGGAGCCUGCGUCUGAUUAGGUAGUUGGUGGGGUAAAGGCCUACCCAAGCCUACGAUCAGUAGCUGGUCUGAGAGGAUGAUCAGCCACAUUGGGACUGAGACACGGCCCAAACUCCUACGGGAGGCAGCAGUGGGGAAUAUUGGACAAUGGGCGCAAGCCUGAUCCAGCAAUGCCGCGUGGGUGAAGAAGGUCUUCGGAUUGUAAAGCCCUUUUGGCGGGGACGAUGAUGACGGUACCCGCAGAAUAAGCUCCGGCUAACUUCGUG